UUAAUAACGUAUAUUUCGAAUAUUUAGCUGAGAAAAUAAUGACGAACGUUUACAGUAUUCUAGAAACUAACUUAGUUGAAGUAAAUAACACAAUUAGAAGCCAUCAAAUAAAAGAGAUGAGUGACAAUGUAAUUCAACAGAUAUACAGUCGAAUUAUGGACCGGGUUUCAUUUCGCAAAAAACAAAUCGAGAAGCAGACACAAUAUAUUUUGAAAGUUUUUUCUUCUAAUCGGUGGAUGUAAAAUAAAUUGCAGCUUUUUAUAUGUGGACAUAUCUCAUAUGAAUUUUUUUCAUAUAAUUUUUUUAUUUUGUACGUACUACUUCUUUUACUGCUUUAAAUAUUGUUUAUUUAGAUGUACUAUCUGAUGCUUUUAUAUUUAUAUUUAUAAAAUUAUAUGAAUGCAUGCAUCAAAAUUUUCAUUCUUUUGCAAUCUUGUUUGAA
Molecule: non-coding RNA, 442 nt
Organism: Nylanderia fulva
Lineage: Eukaryota; Metazoa; Arthropoda; Insecta; Hymenoptera; Formicidae
Source: RefSeq, a predicted model, not a curated record